GGCUUUUUUAGCUCAGGCGGAGCUCGACCACUAACUAAAACAAUGCUUCAAUUUAUCGAUAAUUAUAAAGAUAAUUACGGGAUCGAGCCAAUCUGUCGAGUACUACCGAUUGCCCCA
This is a regulatory RNA element of Psychrobacter arcticus 273-4, 117 nucleotides long. It matches the Rfam family "ALIL pseudoknot". The record is from Rfam. Lineage: Bacteria; Pseudomonadati; Pseudomonadota; Gammaproteobacteria; Moraxellales; Moraxellaceae.